AGCAUAAUCAUUUGCCUUUUAAUUGGAGGCUAGAAUGAAGGGACAUACGAGAUUGAGACUGUCUCUAUUUCAUUUAUAUAAAUUGUUUUUUAGGUGAAGAGACCUGAAUUUUAAUAAAAGACAAAAAGACCCUAUUGAGCUUUAUUUAAAUGGGUUUUGUGUUUGAAAUAGUUACUUAUUUACUUUUAUAAAUUUGGUUGGGGUGACAAGGGAAUAUUUAGAUAAAUCUUCUCUGUAUUUAAGGAAUAUUAUUUCUUUUAAUAGAUCUAUUUAGAUGAUAAGAAGAAUUAGUUACCAUAGGGAUAACAGGCUAAUCUCUUCAGAGAGUUCAAAUUGAUGAGGGGGGUUGGCACCUCGAUGUUGGCUUAAGGUAUCCUAAGGAUGCAGCAGUCCUUGAGGGUUGGUUUGUUCAACCAUUAAAA
This 422-nucleotide ribosomal RNA is filed under the name Pseudomystides sp. 124 PB. Its description in RNAcentral is "partial 16S ribosomal RNA". It matches the Rfam family "Bacterial large subunit ribosomal RNA", at positions 1958 to 2593 of the family's 2925-position model. Lineage: Eukaryota; Metazoa; Annelida; Polychaeta; Phyllodocida; Phyllodocidae. The record is from RNAcentral.